RNAcentral lists this ribosomal RNA (627 nucleotides) under Triticum aestivum (bread wheat). RNAcentral's name for it is "partial small subunit ribosomal RNA". The record is from RNAcentral. Lineage: Eukaryota; Viridiplantae; Streptophyta; Magnoliopsida; Poales; Poaceae.
AUGGGUUGCUUCUUCCGCGCGUACAUGCUGGCCAUCGCCAACGCCGUCUGCAUCGGCGGCACGGCCAUGAUCGUCUACGCGUUCGUCAACCUGGCGCGGAAGCCCCACAGCAAGGUGUCCAUCGUCGAGGCCUCCGUCUUCCUCCUCUGCUGGGUUAGCGUCACGGCCGGCGUGUACACGGCCUUCUGCGCCGACCUCUUCCAGCUGUCGGCGCUGAGUCGGUGCCUGGCCUGCAUCCCCGGGGCAAUCCGUGGCGCGGGCCGGCUUCUCUGCCUGCCGUGGCGGUGCGCGCGCGCCCGCCGAAGCGGCGGCGGCGGUGCUCUGCCGCAGUAUCUGGACCAGACACCGAGCCACAUGCCCGUGCUGGCCCGGGAGCCGCCGGUGCAUGGCGUCGCGCGAGCGGUGACGGAGAAUGACAUCCCGGCUUACGAGCAGCCGGAGGGCGGCGGCGGGUCCGAGUGCACGAUUUGCCUCGGGGAGGUGGAGAAGGGGGACGCGGUGAAGCGGAUGCCGGUGUGCCUGCACAUGUUCCACCAGCAAUGCGUCGAUCCGUGGUUGCACGAGCACUCGACAUGCCCGGUGUGCCGGUGCAAUCUCUUCGCGCCGUUGCCGGCCCAAAUGGUAUGA